UAGGGAAUCUUCGGCAAUGGACGAAAGUCUGACCGAGCAACGCCGCGUGAGUGAAGAAGGUUUUCGGAUCGUAAAACUCUGUUGUUAGAGAAGAACAAGGACGUUAGUAACUGAACGUCCCCUGACGGUAUCUAACCAGAAAGCCACGGCUAACUACGUGCCAGCAGCCGCGGUAAUACGUAGGUGGCAAGCGUUGUCCGGAUUUAUUGGGCGUAAAGCGAGCGCAGGCGGUUUCUUAAGUCUGAUGUGAAAGCCCCCGGCUCAACCGGGGAGGGUCAUUGGAAACUGGGAGACUUGAGUGCAGAAGAGGAGGGUGGAAUUCCAUGUGUAGCGGUGAAAUGCGUAGUUAUAUGGAGGAACACCAGUGGCGAAGGCGGCUCUCUGGUAUGUAACUGACGCUGAGGCUCGAAAGCGUGGGGAGCAAACAGG
RNAcentral lists this ribosomal RNA (429 nucleotides) under Gemmatimonadota bacterium. RNAcentral's name for it is "Gemmatimonadetes bacterium partial 16S ribosomal RNA". It matches the Rfam family "Bacterial small subunit ribosomal RNA", at positions 355 to 776 of the family's 1533-position model. The record is from RNAcentral. Lineage: Bacteria; Pseudomonadati; Gemmatimonadota.